Molecule: ribosomal RNA, 1128 nt
Filed under: Triticum aestivum (bread wheat)
Lineage: Eukaryota; Viridiplantae; Streptophyta; Magnoliopsida; Poales; Poaceae
Description: partial small subunit ribosomal RNA
Source: RNAcentral
AUGGACUAUGUUCGCCUUCGAGCUGUGUACAAAAAUUGGCGGUACAUCACUAUUUGCCCACGCGGUCAUGGCAUCACUGAUCCUCGUUUCCACCCGCGUCGUUGGAUGAUGUUGCCCGAGGGUCAUGGUCUCCACCCUGGCCACUACAAGCUCGGGGGGUAUGUUCGCUUUCUCAACCUCGACACGGGGACCUUGGUCCGUGUCAAGCUCCCGUUGUUCAAGAACCACUGCAUUCUUGACUCAAUCAAUGGCCUCCUCCUCCUCCAAAGGGACGAGGACUCCGCCAUUCUCCUCCUCAACCCUUUCACUAGUGACAUCACUGAGCUCCCACCACUCUCCACCCUCCUCACACAAGUGGUGACACAGUCUGAGAUCACAUUUGGCCUAUGCUACUGCUAUCUCCUCAAACAUGGCAUGUCUACUGCUGUCUUCUGCAACAAUGACGGUACCACCACCGUCAUGAUUAUCUUGCAUCAUUUAUCACAGUUGGCCUAUGCUAACUCCCAAGACAAGCAAUGGAUCUUGGCGAGCUGGGAUCUUCCGUUAAACAUGAAAGCUUUGUCAUGUCAAGGCAAGUUAUACUUGGUGCAGUAUCCUGCAUCUCAUGGUUCACAAGUUCUUCAGAUUGACCCACCCUUGCAGGUUGGUUCGCCGCCACCACGGCCAAAGUUAAUUGCCACAUGCCCGACAAAUAAACUUGUCUAUGGUUAUCAUCUGGUAGAAUGUGACUCGAACAUCCUUCUUGUUUGCCAUACUGAUGAUUCUCGAUCACCCAUUUUGAUUUACAACCUUGAGAAUAUUAUUGUGGGAAGGUUUACCCCGGUAAGAAGCAUUGGAAAGCAUGCCCUCUUCCUCGGAGAAAGGAGUCUGAGUGUCUCCUCUAAGGCAUUGCCUACUAUCAUUGCUGAAACUAUCAUCUACAAAGGACCAAGGGAGCAUCGCUUUGUGCAAUACCACCUCAGUACCGCCAAGUGGUCCGAACCAGUUGACGAAUGUAGCAUCUAUGGAUAUAGCCCCGGUCCUCAUAGCCUCAUCCAACAUAUCAUUACUUGUUGCAUUCGUCGUGCUUGGAACAAAGGGCUGAUAUAUUCUGAAGCGGAAGCGUAUAAGCCUGGAUGGCUCACCUAG